RNAcentral lists this long non-coding RNA (1556 nucleotides) under Bemisia tabaci. RNAcentral's name for it is "lncRNA ENSSWEETPG005241". The record is from RNAcentral. Lineage: Eukaryota; Metazoa; Arthropoda; Insecta; Hemiptera; Aleyrodidae.
UAAAUAAUGUAUUCCGUAAGAUCGAAAUUCAAUGGAUUAGUACUGAUUGAAAUGUGAACUUUUUAGAACUAUCUACCCCCAAAACUCCCCGGAAAGGGAACUUUACCCCCACCGGACUAAAAUUUACGAUAUUUUUACUGGACAGGAACAUAAAUGUACCAUUUGAUCACAAAUUGUCAUCUACCUUUUGAAGUUCAGGGAUUAAAAAACAAGAUUCUUUAUUUGAUAAUUUUAGUGUCGUCUGAAUUGCAUGGAUUUACUUAGAAACGAGAUAACUUAACGGCACGAAUUUUUCGCAUUUCUUUUGAAGUGUUUGAGGAUUUAGGAGAGAAUCACCAUGGAAUACGUCUUAAAAUAUCAGCGUUGGGCAGUUGUGGCUUUUUGUUCAGAAUGUGAAGUUUACAGUACUACAGUGUUUGAGUCUGAUUAGUUAAUGUCUUUCAACCUGCUUCAGUCAUUGGGAAGAUUUGUCAAUCUUAACAAAAAUGAUACUCCCUAGUCAUUAUGCAGCGCUCACAUUGUUCUUGAUUUCUGCAGCCUCUGUGUCUACCCAGCGAAUAGGAUUUAGUUAUGAGGACGUGCAGAGACAACUUGACUUUCAUGAUUCCGUUCCAAAUGUCGAGGAUGGACUGGAAUGGUUCGAACAGAAGCUUGAUCAUUUCAAUCCAGCUUGCACGGCAACCUGGCUUCAGCGCUAUGCAGUAAGACUGGAGAACUAUGAUGGAAAUAAUUUGGUGUUCUUAUUCAUCGGCGGCCACAGCGUCAUCCAGAAUGCAUGGCUUAGGCAUGGACACAUGAGUAGAUUGGCUGAAAAGUUUAAUGCUGCUGAGUUCAUCAUCGAACAUAGAUUUUAUGGUGGAAGCAAACCCAACCGUAAGUCAUCUUUCCAUCUCUUUUGACUCAUUAGAACCAAAGCCAUGCUUACUGCCCUGGCAAAUCGUGGAUUGAGGGAAUAAGGCGUAAAAUGAGGAGAUGUGAUCCGUCGGAGGAGCUCUGGCAGGAUCGCUAUCAGUAGCGGUUAUGGAUGUCACAGAGCGCACAGAAGCGCUCUAGAGCGAUUUAGUAGUAAUGGGAACAAAAUCCAUGUCGCGAAUAAAUACUUAUUUAAAUAGCUGAAUAUUUUACUUUAAUGAGCGACCACUGAGCGACUACUUUUCAUCUAAAAAGGCUUUCUAUGUAAGGUCAUCAGGGCGCUGACAUUUUAAAUUGUUGUACUUAAAAGCCUUUGACUGAUUGAUUCUAAAAAGAACUUAAAACAAAAUUACGGAAAUUAACUCACCGCUUUUACUCACCAUUGAUGACGCUUCUACACGUGUUGGCUAACUCUCGCUUCUAGCAUUUUACUGACCUUGUCGUCGCCCCCGUUUUCCAGGGAUCUAUCCCUCGAGUCGUUAACUUACUUGAGCAGUGAGCAAGCACUGGCUGAUCUUGCAUGCUUCGUUAAGGAAUGAACAUACUUCAUGGCUUUAAUAAUCCAAAAUGGAUCGUUUUUGGAGGUGCAUACGCAGGAUCCCUGGCAGCUUGGCUCCGAUACAAAUACCCUCAUUUAGUGUUUG